AUUGAACGCUGGCGGUAGGCCUAACACAUGCAAGUCGAACGGCAGCACAGUGCUAGCUUGCGCUUACGGCGGCCGAGUGGCGGGUGGGGCCUAGAUACCUCCGAAUCUGCUUUUUCGUAGGGCCUAACGUAGGGGCUCUUACGCUAAUCCCGCUUAGGGCGUACGGGGGAAAUCAUGGGACCUUCGGCCCUUGCGCGAUUCAAUGACCGGAUGUCGGAUUAGCUAGUUGGUGGGGUAAAGGCCCACCAAGGCGACGAUCCGUAGCUGGUCUGAGAGGAUGAUCAGCCACACUGGAACUGAGACACGGUCCAGACUCCUACGGGAGGCAGCAGUGGGGAAUAUUGGACAAUGGGCGAAAGCCUGAUCCAGCCAUACCGCGUGUGUGAAGAAGGCCUUCGGGUUGUAAAGCCCUUUUGUUGGGAAAGAAAAGCAGCAGGUUAAUACCCCGCUGUUCUGACGUUACCCAAAGAAUAAGCACCGGCUAACUUCGUG
RNAcentral lists this ribosomal RNA (492 nucleotides) under uncultured bacterium. Its description in RNAcentral is "partial 16S ribosomal RNA". It matches the Rfam family "Bacterial small subunit ribosomal RNA", at positions 30 to 507 of the family's 1533-position model. The record is from RNAcentral.